GAUGAACGCUGGCGGCGUGCCUAAUACAUGCAAGUCGAGCGAAUGGAUUAAGAGCUUGCUCUUAUGAAGUUAGCGGCGGACGGGUGAGUAACACGUGAGUAACCUGCCCAUAAGACUGGGAUAACUCCGGGAAACCGGGGCUAAUACCGGAUAACAUUUUGAACCGCAUGGUUCGAAAUUGAAAGGCGGCUUCGGCUGUCACUUAUGGAUGGACCCGCGUCGCAUUAGCUAGUUGGUGAGGUAACGGCUAACCAAGGCAACGAUGCGUAGCCGACCUGAGAGGGUGAUCGGCCACACUGGGACUGAGACACGGCCCAGACUCCUACGGGAGGCAGCAGUAGGGAAUCUUCCGCAGUGGACGAAAGUCUGACGGAGCAACGCCGCGUGAGUGAUGAAGGCUUUCGGGUCGUAAAACUCUGUUGUUAGGGAAGAACAAGUGCUAGUUGAAUAAGCUGACACCUUGACGGUACCUAACCAGAAAGCCACGGCUAACUACGUGCCAGCCGCCGCUGUAA
This 515-nucleotide ribosomal RNA is filed under the name uncultured bacterium. RNAcentral describes it as "partial 16S ribosomal RNA". It matches the Rfam family "Bacterial small subunit ribosomal RNA", at positions 28 to 523 of the family's 1533-position model. The record is from RNAcentral.